GCCGGGCAUGGUGGCGCAUGCCUGUAGUCCCAGCUACUUGGGAGGCUGAGGCAGGAGAAUUGCUUGAAUCCGGGAUUUGGAAGUUGCAGUGAGCUGAGAUGGUGCCACUGCACUCCAGCUUGGGCAACAGAGUAACACUUUGUCUCAA
Molecule: non-coding RNA, 148 nt
Filed under: Pan troglodytes (chimpanzee)
Lineage: Eukaryota; Metazoa; Chordata; Mammalia; Primates; Hominidae
Source: Rfam by way of RNAcentral